UUUCAAAAGUUUGUGUAUUUAAUAGAAAACAAAUAUUAGUUUAUGUAUUAAACGAGGAUCCAAAAAUAGUUCGUGUAUUUUAUUAGCAAAUUAAAAAUAGUUUGUGUAUUUUUUUAAAAAAUAUUUUCAAAAUUUAAACACGUGUUAAUUAAACACUAACGUCGUCGUUACUACCGUUAAAUAUAGUUAACGCCGUCUAAAACGAUGUGUAAAACCUUCGAAUUUCAAAGGUUUAUGUAUUUAAUAGGUAACAAAAAUUAGUUUGUGUAUUAAACGGAGAUCCAAAAUAGUUAGUGUAUUUUAUUAACAAAUGAAAAUUAGUCCGUGUAUUUUAAAAGAAUUUUCCUUCUCUAUAAAAUAACAAUUAAAAGAAGCCGACACCAAAACCCCUUUUCCAUAACCGAUGAACCCUAAACCCCUUUCCCGUAACAUUCUCAUGUGUUUUACAUGAUUUAUCCUAAAUUCGAUCUUGUUCGCACCCUUCUCUACCACUAAAACCUUCAAUUCACAAGGGGAAGUGAAUUGGAAGGAUUGAUUGAGGUCUUUGGUAUCUGGAGCUAUAUCGAGUUCCAGGGACAUGGGAGGAGAUGAUGAAAGCACCUUCAGAACGCAUCAUCAUGAUGACACCGUCGACGAGGCUGUUGAAUCCUUGGGGAGGCAGAUGAAACAACCUAGGAGGCAUUUUCUCACAACGGGUUGGAGUACAUUUGUAUCCUCGAAAAGACUCGUAGCUGGAGAUGCGUUUGUGUUCUUGAGGUGAGAAUGGGGAUUUGAGAGUUGGAAUGGGAGUCCUUGCUACAGCUUCUCAUGCUGUUGUUAUCAAAACUAUCUUUCUUGUGUUUUACAAGCCUAGGAUAAGUCAGUUCAUAGUAGGGGUUAACAAGUAUAUGGAAGCUAUGAAGCAUUGAUUCUCUCUUGGUACUCAAAUCAGAAUGAUAUUUGAAGGAGAAGAGUCCCCUGAGUGAAUGUUUACCGGAACCAUUGUGGGAAUUGGAGAUCUAUCUUUACAAUAGCCAGCUUCUAAGUGGAGAACAGUGCAGGUCCAACAGGAUGAGCCAACAACAGUUCAGAGACCUGACAGAGUCUCACCAUGGGAGAUCGAUCCGUUCUUGCCAUCUUCCCCAGUUUUAACACCUGCUCAACAAUCACAACCCAAAUGCAAGCGAUCAAGACCUGUAGAAUCAUCUGUUUUGUUCAGUAAUGUAGUUAGAAAGAUGAGUUUGUUCUCAAGUCUCUUUCUUGAUGAUAUUGAUUGUGUCAUAUCCUGAGAUCUAUAAUGGCUAUUUGUCUCAGUCAAAAGCUGCAAGAUGAAAGUUUAAAAGAA
Molecule: long non-coding RNA, 1324 nt
Organism: Brassica napus (rape)
Lineage: Eukaryota; Viridiplantae; Streptophyta; Magnoliopsida; Brassicales; Brassicaceae
Exons: 6
Source: RefSeq, a predicted model, not a curated record